GCGAUCAUACCAGCACUAAUGCACCGGAUCCCAUCAGAACUCCGAAGUUAAACGUGCUUGGGCGAGAGCAGUACUAGGAUGGGUGGCGAGAGCAGUACUAGUAUGGGUGACCCUCUGGGAAGUCCUCGUGUUGCACCU
This 138-nucleotide ribosomal RNA is filed under the name Zingiber officinale. The record is from RNAcentral. Lineage: Eukaryota; Viridiplantae; Streptophyta; Magnoliopsida; Zingiberales; Zingiberaceae.